RNAcentral lists this long non-coding RNA (2013 nucleotides) under Homo sapiens (human). Its description in RNAcentral is "LHRI_LNC1810.7". Lineage: Eukaryota; Metazoa; Chordata; Mammalia; Primates; Hominidae. The record is from RNAcentral.
AGACCAGCAUGAAAUCAGAAACUGAGUUCGGGACAGAGCUGUCCCAGGUGAGUGAGGGACUCCGAGGAUCAGGACCUAAGUUGAGGCCAAUGCCCGGGUGCAUGACCAGGGAAGUCCAGGUGCUGGAAUUGAAAGACAACGCAAGGCUGAAGCUAUUACUACUGAACUAUUUCACAAACCCAUUUUGAAAGUCAAAAACCGAGCACUGAGUCUUUCUCUGUAAUCCAGCUACACCAACCCUAAUCUUCUCUGAGGUGAUGCACAGCUGUCACUGGGGAGAAAUGGAAUGCCAGGAAAUGCACAAAGGAAAAGCAUCCUGACAAAUGUUUUCAGCCUUAUGCGCCACACCACUAAAGAACAUUGCCACCUGCUGUAGGAUAUGAAGCUUCUGAAGCACAUGAGAAGUAAGAGGAAACAAUGGUCAUGCCCCCAAAGGUCUUGCUCCACAGAACUGGAGGGACACGUUCUGAAGAAUCCCAGAUUGCAUUCCAGAUGCACCCCAUGGAAACAUGGGACUUUGGUCCUUUUCCAACACCAGGUCACAAGGAGAAAGCUCAUUUUGCAGCUACUCACAGUUACUAGCAGGGCCAUCAUCCUUAACAUUUUUCUGUUGACUCAGAUCUCAGUGAUUUGUAGAAGGAUAAAUUAUCUAAGUAUGAAUUUCCUCUUAAUUCUGAAUAGAAUCUUAUAAUAGCCUCUAUCCUGUUACGACGUUCCCAGUAGUCUUAUGAAUUCAGUAGGGAAUAAACCAGCUGUUUCCAUUUCAUGGGGAGGGCGGGAGGAACAAUCUUGGACUUUUUCUUUUUUUCAACCAAUGUUUAUUGAACCCUUAUUGUGAACCAGGAGCUGUAUUAGGCUCUGAGAAUACACAGUUAGCCUGAACCUACAUGAUGCUUAUACUAGGGAAGAAGACACAUAAACAGAUACUUUUAUUAUAAAAUGGUAGAAAUAAUUACUAGGUGUCAAAGGUUCAAAGUUGAAGGGUAUCACUCAGCCUUCCUGGAGGAGCUGAGACUUGAAUUAAGACUUGAAGGAUGGGCCAGAUGCCAAGUGGGGAGAAGAGCUCUGUUGAUCUGUUCAUUGUGGUAUCCCUACCACCCCACCACAUGGUCUAGUACAUGGAAGACAUUUAAUACAGUGAAUUUGCGAAAGAAAUCUCAGCAGAGGAAAUGUUAUAAGCACAAACAAGGCACGGGAAACUAGAAAUGAUUUGGAUUUACGAGAAGAUUAAUCCUUAUAGGAUCAUAGAUUUCUCUGAAAAACUAAUAGAAGCUAUGGUCCGUCUUCCUACCAAAAUUAACAUACACUCAACAUUUAACAGGUAAUUUUAGGGGGAUACAGAUAUGCCUGAAACUUGUACACACUGAGAAAUCUCUGUUAUAGGGAAUUGGGAGCAUUGAGGUUUUUAAAAACAUCUUUAUUUUAUUUAUUAUAAAGUAGGGGAAUGACAUAACUUAGAGUUACUUUGGAUGCAUAGUGAAGGAUGGGCUUAAGGAAGAUAAGACUAGAUGUGGCAGUUCACUUAAGAGGUUGCUGAAAUAAUUCUGGGUGAGUUAGCCAGAACUAGGAGUGAAGACACGGGCAUGGAGAAGAGUAGUGGGGUGAAGAAUACUUUAAGCGGUAAAACUGGCCUUGCUGGUGUUUGGUUGGAUUUGAGAGCAAGGAAUGGGAAGGAGCUAAGGUUGACUUUCAGGUUUUUUGAAGGACAGGGCAGAUGGUGGUGCUAGUAAUUGAGAUAGGAAAUGCAGGAAAAGAGGUUUGGGUCAGGAAUGGGCUGAUGGAGAGUCUGGGGACGGGAGAAAUGAGGAGUUUGGGUUUGGCCAUGUUGAGAUCACUUGAGGCGACCAGGUAAUGACAGAUACGAGCGAAGUGGAAGGAUAAUGGGGAGAUGCUGUAAACUUUAAGGAGCAAAGGAUUAUGGGAGAGUGGAGUGGGGGUCCAGCAUAUGUUUUCACUUAAUUGGGCAGUGAGGAGGACUGGUGGCCACUGAGUCUGAGGAAUGUGGGGAGUAAG